UCUACCAAAGGAUAAUAGCAUUCCACUGGUCUUA
This 34-nucleotide transfer RNA is filed under the name Natrix natrix (European grass snake). RNAcentral describes it as "partial transfer RNA-Leu". The record is from RNAcentral. Lineage: Eukaryota; Metazoa; Chordata; Lepidosauria; Squamata; Natricidae.